UAUCGAAUGUCACGUCAUCGCUA
This 23-nucleotide non-coding RNA is filed under the name Arabidopsis thaliana (thale cress). The record is from RNAcentral. Lineage: Eukaryota; Viridiplantae; Streptophyta; Magnoliopsida; Brassicales; Brassicaceae.